GAUGAACGCUGGCGGCGUGCCUAAUACAUGCAAGUCGAGCGAACAGACGAGGAGCUUGCUCCUCUGACGUUAGCGGCGGACGGGUGAGUAACACGUGGAUAACCUACCUAUAAGACUGGGAUAACUUCGGGAAACCGGAGCUAAUACCGGAUAAUAUAUUGAACCGCAUGGUUCAAUAGUGAAAGACGGUUUUGCUGUCACUUAUAGAUGGAUCCGCGCCGCAUUAGCUAGUUGGUAAGGUAACGGCUUACCAAGGGAACGAGGCGUAGCCGACCUGAGAGGGUGAUCGGCCACCCUGGAACUGAGACACGGUCCAGACUCCUGCGGGAGGCAGCAGUAGGGAAUCUUCCGCAAUGGGCGAAAGCCUGACGGAGCAACGCGGCGUGAGUGAUGAAGGUCUUCGGAUCGUAAAACUCUGUUAUUAGGGAAGAACAAAUGUGUAAGUAACUAUGCACGUCUUGACGGUACCUAAUCAGAAAGCCACGGCUAACUACGUG
This 497-nucleotide ribosomal RNA is filed under the name uncultured bacterium. RNAcentral describes it as "partial 16S ribosomal RNA". It matches the Rfam family "Bacterial small subunit ribosomal RNA", at positions 28 to 507 of the family's 1533-position model. The record is from RNAcentral.